Molecule: ribosomal RNA, 878 nt
Filed under: uncultured bacterium
Lineage: Bacteria
Description: bacterial SSU rRNA
Rfam family: Bacterial small subunit ribosomal RNA
Source: RNAcentral
GGCUUAGAGUUUGAUCAUGGCUCAGGAUGAACGCUAGCUACAGGCUUAACACAUGCAAGUCGAGGGGCAUCAGGAAGAAAGCUUGCUUUCUUUGCUGGCGACCGGCGCACGGGUGAGUAACACGUAUCCAACCUGCCCUUUACUCGGGGAUAGCCUUUCGAAAGAAAGAUCAAUACCCGAUGGCAUAAUGAUUCCGCAUGGUUUCAUUAUUAAAGGAUUCCGGUAAAGGAUGGGGAUGCGUUCCAUUAGGUUGUUGGUGAGGUAACGGCUCACCAAGCCUUCGAUGGAUAGGGGUUCUGAGAGGAAGGUCCCCCACAUUGGAACUGAGACACGGUCCAAACUCCUACGGGAGGCAGCAGUGAGGAAUAUUGGUCAAUGGGCGCUAGCCUGAACCAGCCAAGUAGCGUGAAGGAUGAAGGCUCUAUGGGUCGUAAACUUCUUUUAUAUAAGAAUAAAGUGCAGUAUGUAUACUGUUUUGUAUGUAUUAUAUGAAUAAGGAUCGGCUAACUCCGUGCCAGCAGCCGCGGUAAUACGGAGGAUCCGAGCGUUAUCCGGAUUUAUUGGGUUUAAAGGGAGCGUAGGUGGACUGGUAAGACAGUUGUGAAAGUUUGCGGCUCAACCGUAAAAUUGCAGUUGAUACUGUCAGUCUUGAGUACAGUAGAGGUGGGCGGAAUUCGUGGUGUAGCGGUGAAAUGCUUAGAUAUCACGAAGAACUCCGAUUGCGAAGGCAGCUCACUGGACUGCAACUGACACUGAUGCUCGAAAGUGUGGGUAUCAAACAGGAUUAGAUACCCUGGUAGUCCACACAGUAAACGAUGAAUACUCGCUGUUUGCGAUAUACAGUAAGCGGCCAAGCGAAAGCAUUAAGUAUUCCACCU